UGCUUCUAGUCGUGGCCGGAGGAUGUGCAGCCUAGCGUUGACUCGUCGGAGGAAGGCAAAGAAGAUGGUGGCUCCAUUGAGUCUACCCUGAUGGUCGGAGAUCGGUGACAGAAGAAACAGAGUCCUCCAGAUCCACUUUCUCUCUCCUCCUUCUCUUUCUCGUCUGUGCUUUAGGGUGGUCCAGUACUGUGGUCCUCUUCGGAUUCGUAUAGAGUCGAACGUUUCUCUACCUACUAUACACCGAGAUCGACUCAUUUAGUGAAAUCAGAUCUCAAAAUCAAUUGUUUCAGACUAUCAUGAGUGUCGAAACUCGAGGCUUUGACGCUAUACUGUGGUAUUUGUCAUCGAAAGAAAUUCCGAAGAAAGGAAAACAAUAG
Molecule: long non-coding RNA, 377 nt
Filed under: Rosa chinensis
Lineage: Eukaryota; Viridiplantae; Streptophyta; Magnoliopsida; Rosales; Rosaceae
Description: sRNA RchiOBHm_Chr2g0155921
Source: RNAcentral